AGCGAACGCUGGCGGCAGGCUUAACACAUGCAAGUCGAGCGGGCGUAGCAAUACGUCAGCGGCAGACGGGUGAGUAACGCGUGGGAACAUACCUCUUGGUUCGGAACAACACAGGGAAACUUGUGCUAAUACCGGAUAAGCCCUUACGGGGAAGAUUUAUCGCCGAGAGAUUGGCCCGCGUCUGAUUAGCUAGUUGGUGAGGUAACGGCUCACCAAGGCGACGAUCAGUAGCUGGUCUGAGAGGAUGAUCAGCCACAUUGGGACUGAGACACGGCCCAAACUCCUACGGGAGGCA
Molecule: ribosomal RNA, 295 nt
Filed under: uncultured bacterium
Lineage: Bacteria
Description: partial 16S ribosomal RNA
Rfam family: Bacterial small subunit ribosomal RNA
Source: RNAcentral